CUGCAUUUGAAACUGGCAAGCUUGAGUCUUGUAGAGGGGGGUAGAAUUCCAGGUGUAGCGGUGAAAUGCGUAGAGAUCUGGAGGAAUACCGGUGGCGAAGGCGGCCCCCUGGACAAAGACUGACGCUCAGGUGCGAAAGCGUGGGGGGCAAACAGGAUUAGAUACCCUGGUAGUCCACGCCGUAAACGAUGUCGACUUGGAGGCUGUUCCCUUGAGGAGUGGCUUCCGGAGCUAACGCGUUAAGUCGACCGCCUGGGGAGUACGGCCGCAAGGUUAAAACUCAAAUGAAUUGACGGGGGCCCGCACAAGCGGUGGAGCAUGUGGUUUAAUUCGAUGCAACGCGAAGAACCUUACCUACUCUUGACAUCCAGAGAAUUUAGCAGAGAUGCUUUAGUGCCUUCGGGAACUCUGAGACAGGUGCUGCAUGGCUGUCGUCAGCUCGUGUUGUGAAAUGUUGGGUUAAGUCCCGCAACGAGCGCAACCCUUAUCCUUUGUUGCCAGCACGUAAUGGUGGGAACUCAAAGGAGACUGCCGGUGAUAAACCGGAGGAAGGUGGGGAUGACGUCAAGUCAUCAUGGCCCUUACGAGUAGGGCUACACACGUGCUACAAUGGCGCAUACAAAGAGAAGCGACCUCGCGAGAGCAAGCGGACCUCAUAAAGUGCGUCGUAGUCCGGAUUGGAGUCUGCAACUCGACUCCAUGAAGUCGGAAUCGCUAGUAAUCGUAAAUCAGAAUGUUACGGUGAAUACGUUCCCGGGCCUUGUACACACCGCCCGUCACACCAUGGGAGUGGGUUGCAAAAGAAGUAGAUAGCUUAACCUUCGGGAGGGCG
RNAcentral lists this ribosomal RNA (832 nucleotides) under uncultured bacterium. Its description in RNAcentral is "bacterial SSU rRNA". It matches the Rfam family "Bacterial small subunit ribosomal RNA", at positions 621 to 1452 of the family's 1533-position model. The record is from RNAcentral.